UGAACGCUGGCGGCGUGCCUAACACAUGCAAGUCGAACGAACGAGUUCUCUUCGGAGAGCGAGUUAGUGGCGAACGGGUGAGUAACGCAUGGGUGAUCUGCCCCGAAGUGGGGGACAACUGUUCGAAAGGACAGCUAAUACCGCAUAAGUUGCACCUAGUUAGAGAGGGUGCAGUAAAGGAUUAAUUCGCUUCGGGAGGAACCUGUGUCCCAUCAGCUAGUUGGUAAGGUAAUGGCUUACCAAGGCGAAGACGGGUAGGGGGCCUGAGAGGGUGGCCCCCCACAAUGGAACUGAAACACGGUCCAUACACCUACGGGUGGCAGCAGUGGGGAAUAUUGCCCAAUGGACGAAAGUCUGAGGCAGCAACGCCGCGUGUGCGAAGACGGCCUUCGGGUUGUAAAGCACUUUUGGCGGGGAAGAGGAAGGACAGUACCCGCAGAAUAAGCUUCGGCUAACUAC
Molecule: ribosomal RNA, 459 nt
Filed under: uncultured bacterium
Lineage: Bacteria
Description: bacterial SSU rRNA
Rfam family: Bacterial small subunit ribosomal RNA
Source: RNAcentral